RNAcentral lists this long non-coding RNA (219 nucleotides) under Capsicum annuum. RNAcentral describes it as "long non-coding RNA (CANN_LNC005316)". The record is from RNAcentral. Lineage: Eukaryota; Viridiplantae; Streptophyta; Magnoliopsida; Solanales; Solanaceae.
AUAACUGCUGCUGAGAAGUGUAAGUUACCUUUUUAAUAUACUCUUUUGAUUUGACAAACGAUGAAAAAUAUGGAGGGGUAUAAAUUCUUCUUUUCUACUCUUUUGAUUUAUAAAGAAUGAAUAAUAUGUACUAAAACGACAUGAGAAGCUAUAUAAAAAUUUAAUUUAUGAUUUUAUUCAAAAAAAUAAAGAAUAUUUUUAGUAUGAUAAUUGGAGAAG